CAUCUCUGGGUUAGGGGUGAAUAAACCUUUUAGACGCAACGGGACUGAGAGACCCCGUGAAGCUUUACUGUAGCUUAAUAUUGAUCAAAACACCACCAUGUAGAGAAUAGGUAGGU
Molecule: ribosomal RNA, 116 nt
Filed under: uncultured Mycoplasma sp.
Lineage: Bacteria; Bacillati; Mycoplasmatota; Mollicutes; Mycoplasmatales; Mycoplasmataceae
Description: partial 23S ribosomal RNA
Source: RNAcentral